AUUAGUGAUUUAAUCUCUAAUUAUUUAUAUACAUAUGUCUUCAUAUGUAAUUAGGAUCAUUGUGUGUGUCUAAGUCUUCACUUGACACCAAGCACUUGUCCGAUCCUUCCGUACGAUAACAACCCGUUCAAUUCCAGUCACAUACUGCAGGUGAGUUCAUACCCCUUAACUAAUGUUUUAAACUAUUUUAAAUGUUUUAGGGGGGGGAUACAAGUAGAAUCAUGCUACUUAUUAUGUCAAUCACAUGUGAUUAGUAAGUAGGAUUAUAUUACUUAUUACAUCAAUCACAUGUGAUUAAUAUACAACAUUCAAAAGAUUUGGCUACUCAUUAGCCGUUUUACCAAACAGUUUCCUUCAAAUGAUUUUUAUAAACAUUUUAUAUGUUUUAAACUCCUUAUUACACUGUACCUCUUACUCUGUUUAUCAUAUUUCAAACUUAUUUACAACUGUGUUUCAAACAAAUGUUCCUUAUACUUAUAUUGUUUUAUCAAACUUAUGCCUUCAAAUUGUUUUAUAGAUUGACAUCAAGUCGAUCUUUCCUUAAACUAAUAUUUAUGUUUCAAAUGUUUUACCAAACUUAUUUAUGCUUUUAUAUUAUAAAUUGCAUGCCUCUAUAUGUAUAGUUAUAUAAGAAAUGUUUAAAAGACUUAGGAAGGCUAUCCACCCUAUUUCCUUUUCGCGCCUUGAGAUGUGGUCUGGUGGGAUAUCGGAUACUCGUCCGAAGGUCGUUUAAAUAUUAGUUAUAUAUCAUGUGUACAUAUAUAGUCAUAAAAGGUCCUUCCAGUUCAUCCUAUGCCCUUGGGUAGCAAGGGUAUACAUCCACGUCCAUACGUACCACUUAGAUUACUAGUAAGCUACCAUAUGGGUAGUUCAGGAAGAUACUAGAACCAUUACUAGAACGCAAUAUCAUACAAUGAGUCAGUUCAUUCAUGAGUCAAUACUUUCUAUAACAUUACUGUACAUUACAUAUACAACUAUACUAGGGCGAGAUCAUAUACAUCUAAACUAGGAUGAGAACAUAUACAACUAUACUAGACGUUUACAUUACUAUACUUGCUAGAUAGAGAAAACACACGUUACAGCUAGCACACGUAGAACCUUACAAUACUCUAAUAUAAUAUUUAAAUGAUCACACUUAUAGGAGUACUUUUGCAUAGAUAUAUAAGGAGGAGUCCUAUUACAUUUUAUAUGUACCGACUCUGUUAUCAAAUCCUCAUUCUUACCUUUACCUUGUGAUACAAUCACAUAUUCGACGAGAUAGAAUGGAUUUAUUAUCCUAGUACCAAAGGAUACGAUUGUGGGAUUGACCAUUCCUAGAAUCUCUGUUAGCUACAGAGGUAAAAGCACAUCCACGGAUGUCAAACGGUUGGUACCAUUACAGGUACACUUUAAGGGAUUAACUAUUCCUAUACCCAGCUGUUAGCAACAGAGGUAAGAGUACGUCUACGGAUGUCUUAAAGUUAACAAUGAUAGUUACCCUAGUACCAAAGGGUAAUAUUCAGGUUAGUUAUAUUAUUACCUUUAUUUUGUGACUCAUUCACAUAACCAAUGAGGUGAAUUAUAUUUAGGUAUCCUAGUACCAAAGGAUACAAUUUUCUUAUAAUGAUAGUUAUACUUUGGAAAAUACUUACUCUUACAAGAGACACACACACAGAACAGUUAGGUCUUGGUAGAAGACACCUUCAUAUACUAGAAGGAAUCAUAGGGAUUCUAGGGUUUUUCAAACACUUACAAUUCAUAUACACUUUCAAAUUCUUACAAUACAUAGACUUACAAAUUCUUACAAACAAAUUAAGACACUAAAUACUUAUGAUCUCACCAGCUUCAAAGCUGAUACUCGCUUUCAAAAUUACUUGUAUCCUCAGGUCAUCAUAGACAGGUACCGAUGCAAGGAGAAAGGAAGAUGGAGCUUGUUCAAGACUUAUCUUUCAUUUUGAUUUAUGCUUUAGUGUUUAUCAAAAUUUGACAGAACACAAUUGUAUAAUAAUUAUUUUAUUAAUGCAAUGGAUGAUGUUGUUGCUUGUUUACUACUUUACAUUGUUGUUGAUAUUAUACAUGACGUCCUCCGCCCCAGAACGUUUCCGCCGUUCUUGGUUUUGGGGUGUGACAGAUUGGUAUCAGAGCAUUGUUUAUAGUGAAUUAAGUAUAUCAACCCAUAAAAGAUAUACUAACUAUAAAUACAUAAGGGAUUAAAAAUACUCUGACCAAGAGUUUAUACUUUAAAUAAUAAAAUAUUUAAUAAAGUAUACUUGCUGCAUUCAUACUAAAAUCAGUGUCACUAGGGCAGUGCAAAAGAAUUACGAUUGUUGGGCAACACAAGUGGGCUUAGAGACAUAUGGUCAAAACUGGGAAGAUAUAGCCUGAUCGCCUAUAUUAUCCGAGGGUUGACUAGCAUGUGCCUAAGUUUAAGGGUGUGGUUGCAACAAUGCUAAAAUCUUACCAACCCUACCACAAUGAGAACAAUAGAACAUAACAUUAAAAUUAAAAUACUAUAGGAGUAUUUGGUGUUACUAUAAGUACUUUAUACUUGAGAACUAAAACGGGAUCUUCAUUACUAAGUUGAUAGUUGCUAAGUGGAUACACUAAGGCUAUAUGUAAUUAGGAUGUUAUAGACUUAGAAUCUGUGAAAAUUUUACUUCACCCCUAUUCUGUGUGAAUAUGGAGUUAAGGUCACUUAUUCGAAGGUCUAUCCUGUUUAGAUUACACAUAGCUGGUAUGCACUUCACAAAUAGCGAUGUAACUAAUGAAGGUUUUCUAAAUAAUUAUCUAGAUAGUUCGUCUAAUAAUUAUCCUCUUACCCUAAAUUCUCGCAUAGAAAUCAUAGCUGGACUCCAUCCCCUUGACAACCAGUAUCUUCCGAAUGAAGUCAUAGCUGGUUGGUUUGGAGAAGAACCAGAGAAUGAUCAUCAUAUCCCCUUGGAUGAUCACCAUGAUAAAGACUUUUCGUAUGAUGCUAACCCCGAACCAGAGGUUGAGACGCUACCCCGAGCAGCUCCCGUUUCAAUUCCUAACCCUGUUCCGGCUUUUCAUAGCCCGACCCUGAGUGAGUGGAAUGCUUAGAAACAGGGAGACAAGGACAAGAUCAGUUUAUGCUAUUUGAUGGCGACCGAAGCUUUUACGACUUCAGCAAUGGGGGCUCAGCAGAUAGAGUCUUGCCAAUCUUGGUCCGCAGAAGGGCCCAAAAUGAGAUUCAAUGCAGGACAGCCCUAUGUCAGAUUACGGAAGUAGUCGCCUAUGCUAGAAUGCAUACCCUCCACACCAUUCGUCUAGCAUAUACUCAUGAGAGAUCAGAGAGAAACCAUGAAACCCUGUUGCAAGCACUGGCUGAAUCACGAGCCAAAGUCAUAAGAGCUCCGCGUACGCUAGAUGGUGUUCGAAAGACACCUACUUGACAUGGAACGUCAAUUGGUUGAACUAAGAGUUCACCAGAGGGAUGACCGUCGCCCGUAGUAGACGCUUUACUUUAUUUCCCUUAUAAAAAGAAAUCGUGUUUUUCUGUCUAUGCCCGAUGUGGUAUUUUCUAUGAAAUUAUCUUUUACCGUAAGUACUUUAGUUAGGUCUUUAUGCUGUCAGGAACUAUCUUCAGUGGAUAUGAUGUGAAACCUUUAAAAGGUCAUUUUCCAGAAUCCUUACAUCGUGAAUAUCAAAAAUAUUGACAGUCGGCUAACUUCUGUGUCAUUCUUCAUCCAAGUACUUUUAUCUUACUUUCAUUGGAGUCUAUCUGAAUCAUACUUUAGUCAAUUCAUUGGACUAUGGUGAUUUAUCUCCAGAGGCAUUUCCAAGUCUCUUUCAGUGGUUGGAUCUUGUUAUUCACCAACCCACGAUACCUCAGCUCGAACGACAAACGUCUUGAGACCAUUCUACGAACAUACUUCCAUUCCGUACUAGGACUGCAUCAUANCAAACAUACUUUCAUUCUUUACUAGGACUGCAUCAUAGAGAUGUAGGUCAAACUUUCGAGAACAUACUCUUACUCUUUGCGUGAACAAUCUAAGUACAUCAGGGUCAACCAGAAUCGCUCACAAAUCCGUAUCUUUAGUGUUACAGGAUCAUGUCGUCAUCCAGAAACAACCAGCCAAGCAACGAGACCUCUACUUUUCCUAUGGACGCGACUACUUUUCAAGCCACCGUUACAGCUGCCGUGAUGGCUGCCGUGACAGCAGUCCUGGCAAACCGCAGCACUUCCAAUGUAGACAAGGCUGAAAAAGGAGUUGAAAAUCCCGAUCGUGUUAAUAAUCCGGGGAAUCAACAAAUAGUAACAGUCGCCACCACCCGAAACAACAACUCAGAGUUCAAGAAAAGAAAACGUCAAGCCAAGGUGGAACGCAAACGGUUUCAGAGAAUUGCCAUGCAACAACCACAAACCUCUGCCAUCCCAGUACCGAGCAGACCAUAUAAAGGAACACUCCCGAAGUGCGACCGGUGCAACCACCACCACAAGGGAAUUUGCCAAGCCCGGCAAUGCAAUAAUUGCCACAAGAUGGGACACAUUGCUCAUUUCUGUAGGAUUACCUCCACCACUGGAGCAAGCCUACUUUGCUAUAGUUGUGGUGAGACAGGGCACUAUUACAGAAAUUGCCCAAAAAGGGAGAUCAAUGAAAGCAGUCGCAUCCCCAUAACUCCUACCCGAUGUUUCACUUCCUCCACUGAUGUGGGUACUGUCCGGAUAUGUCACCAAUGCGAUGAAAUUGGACACCUCCAGAAGGAUUGCCCGAUAACGCAGAACUCUGGCGCAGAUGGGAGGAUUCUCAGGAUCACAGCUGUAGGAGAACCUGCUCAGGAACCACGUUAAUGUAAUUAAGGCGUUUCGUUGUAACAGACUUAUAAACUAUCUAGAACUAGUGCAACUAGAGUCUUACCUUUUGCGAGAUCCUGUCUGUAUAGGAAUUCUCGUGUUGCGUAUACUUGUCUUUUGUAGUAUAUCUUAUUCGCAGCAAUAGUCUUGUGGUAAAUCUAAAGUACUGUAACUCUGUUCAUGGUUGCACGGUUGUCUCUUGUCUGUAAACGUCUUAUGUUCAAAUCUAAUGCCUUUAAAUUUCAGUAUGAUUCCGACUUUAUCAUACGACUCGAUUUAAAAUGAUCCUCACGAAAACAGCUUCAUACUUACAUCUCUAUCUUCUAGAUCACUUUUCCAGCGACCCGUCAUAUCAGAACGCUGAAGUACUCAUGCCAUGAGUACCUCUUAGUUAUUUUCUUUCCAAAAAAAAAUCCCCAAAGUACCACUCGUGCAGUAUGUCAAGUUCAAUCCAGGAAUUCAUGCGGAUGAUCUAUCACUAAGGAAGGUAUACAUAAGAGUGUUAUAUAAUCAAGGUUCUACAGGUUUAGAAUUAAUGAUUUCGCCUUAACUCUUUUCCUCAUUGGGAUGUGAGGGUAAGGAAGAAUCAGUUAUUCGACUACCUUUUCAAUCUUAAUUAUAUACGACUCGUAUACACGAAAUUGUGAUCGUGAAGCCCUGUAUGAAUUCUAAAAUGGACUUCAGGUCGGAGAAACUACCUAAGUAUACGAGUAAUCACAUCGUCAUGUGAAAAAACUUAGAACCCAGUACGACUCCCGAAAACAGAUCACCCUAUAGUUUAAACACCCACGGAGAUACAAGAACAAUACAAACAACUGAGCGAACUACACAGAAAUAGAAUUAGAAGACUAGGUUUCUCACCCUAGAGAACCCCGGUCAGAUUCUUCCAGAGAUCGAUGGAUCGCAUCGUAUGUGCCUCGGAUAUCGAGGACUCCGUCAAGAUUUUCAUAGAAAUCGUUAUCUCUGCCUCGCAUAGACAAAAUGGUUGAGCAAACAUAAGGAAAGAAACUACUCCCAGAAAUGGAUCUGACAUCCGAAUAUCACCAGUUCGAGUGUUAUGGAAGGAUGUUCGGGAGACUAUCUCCUGAACUCGAUACGGACACUUCGAGUUCGUAGUGAUACCCUUUCGGAUAGGACCAAUACGCCCAUAGUUUUCAUGUGCUAAAUGAUUAGGGUUACGUCUUUCUUACUUGGAUUGAUUCGUCAUUUCUCCAUGUAAUGACUUACUUAUCUACCCUCGUAGUAAGAAGAAAACCCAUGGAAACAUUUCCUACAGAGGAACUUUAGCGAAGUUCUCUAAACACGAGUUUUGAAAUUGAAGAGUCAAAUUUCUAUGGCACACUGUUAGUAAUGUGAGAAAUUANAAUUUUGAGUACUCUUUCAAUUUGUCAAAAGCCAUUGAGCAUUUAUCGACACCAGAGACACCGACAAUUUUUGCCAAAUUCUAGGUCUUACCGACCUACUGCUUUAGUUCAUUCAGAACUCCUCGCAAGCUACAGAAACUCGUACGACUUUGACCUAGCGAGGGGUGGCCUUUAACUGGGAAGUUACGCAAGAAAAGGAACCUUUGAGAUUCCGAGUGAGUGACCAAGUUCUUUAGGAUAACUCACUCUGGGAAUGGCUUAAUACGCUUCGUAAAGCGUGGAAAGCUAAAUCCAAGUUAGACAGGACCUCCGAGAUUCUUAUCAGAAUCGGUCCUGUGCCUCGCACAAACUAGACCUACUCCGCGAACUCANNNNNNNNNNNNNNNNNNNNNNNNNNNNNNNNNNNNNNNNNNNNNNNNNNNNNNNNNNNNNNNNNNNNNNNNNNNNNNNNNNNNNNNNNNNNNNNNNNNNNNNNNNNNNNNNNNNNNNNNNNNNNNNNNNNNNNNNNNNNNNNNNNNNNNNNNNNNNNNNNNNNNNNNNNNNNNNNNNNNNNNNNNNNNNNNNNNNNNNNNNNNNNNNNNNNNNNNNNNNNNNNNNNNNNNNNNNNNNNNNNNCUUGCCUAAAUUCUAAUUUCGGGACGAAAUUCCCUUUAACAGGGGGAUGAUGUGACAACCCGAAAUUUUCCAUUCAAAUCAAACCAUAUCAAGCCAAUAGAUGUAGAGCAGUUAUAGUGAAAAUUCAGACUUAUGGAAUAUGUUUGGCAGUUUUCAAGGUUUUACACCUAAGGAGUUAUUAAGAGAGUGGAUGCACUAGGAUUUUGUGCAACACUGUAAUUCCAUUACUCUAGGUCAUUAGAAUCCAUUCCGAGAAUAGAAAUAUUUUCUGCCAAAAAUCUCAGGACUAUAAAUAGAAUUCUGAACCAAAUUGGUUCAUUAGUUGAAUUCCAAUUAGAGAAAAGCCAANCCUAGCACUUGACCAAAAGUGUUGUCCUCGCGCUUAAAUGUUAUUACUUGUAUAAUUAGUGUUAUAAUCACUAAUUAUUUAUAUACAUAUGUUUCAUAUGUAAUUAGGAUCAUUGUGUGUGUCUAAGUCUUCACUUGACACCAAGCACUUGUCUGAUCCUUCCGUACGAUAACAGCCCGUUCAAUUCCAGUCACAUACUGCAGGUGAGUUCAUACCCCUUAACUGUGACAACCCGAAAUUUUCCAUUCAAAUCAAACCACAUCAAUCCAAUGGAAGUAGAGCAGUUUCAGUGAAAAUUCAAAC
Molecule: long non-coding RNA, 7425 nt
Filed under: Lactuca sativa (garden lettuce)
Lineage: Eukaryota; Viridiplantae; Streptophyta; Magnoliopsida; Asterales; Asteraceae
Description: long non-coding RNA (LSAT_LNC008668)
Source: RNAcentral